GAAUAGAGUAGCUGCAUCUCCUGAUCACUGCUCUCCCACACGAGCUGUAUUUGCAUCCAGAGCAGCCUCCAAGAGCCACACAAACAACAUUCAGCUACUGUAUGCAUCUUUGAAAAUAGUUGUGGGCCUGAUUCCAAAGCUGGCCUCUGCAGCCAAGAUUCCUGUUAAUACCCUGUCUCAGACACUUCAGACAGAAAAUAGAUUAAUACUCAAGUAGGAAAUCAAGCCUUUCCAAUAUGUCUCUGUGGAUCUCAAGUCCAGAUGGUGACCAGAGUCUCGGUUGCAAGUAUGCUUACAAGGAUAUGAAGACAUUGCUGGAUCAGUUGCACACUGUUAGAUCAUCUUUACCAGCUGUGGCACUCUUCAAAGGAGUUCGCUGUCUCAUAAUAUCAAGAUCUUCUCUGCAUGUAUGAUGAUCAUUCUUUCAGGAGACAUCAAAAGGGGUGAAUUCUAU
This 454-nucleotide long non-coding RNA is filed under the name Struthio camelus australis. RNAcentral's name for it is "lncRNA (ENSSCUG00000016450.1)". The record is from RNAcentral. Lineage: Eukaryota; Metazoa; Chordata; Aves; Struthioniformes; Struthionidae.